Coffea arabica (coffee) is the source of this 279-nucleotide long non-coding RNA. RefSeq lists it as uncharacterized. The record is from RefSeq and is a predicted model, not a curated record. Lineage: Eukaryota; Viridiplantae; Streptophyta; Magnoliopsida; Gentianales; Rubiaceae.
CGUGAGGAGAGUAAGACAACUUCAGCUUCUGCCGCGUGAGUAAGCUUCCAGUAGAGGAUUUGAGACCAAAGGUGCUCGGAAGUAGUACUAGAUUGUUUACUUUUAUGAAUGUAAUUCGAGUUAAACAUUGUAGUUUUGCCUUAGGUUGCCACUUGAAGUUGGAAAAGUGUAAACCCUGGAUUUGUAUGUGGCUUGUAUGAAUUUGCUACUUGGCUUGUAAGGAUGUAUUUGAAUUGAUGUUUUGUUUCUUGGGUUGUAUUCGGGAAGGUAUUUUAAGAA